GGUACUUUAGCCAAGUGGUUAGGCACCGGUCUGCAAAACCGUCUACGGCGGUUCGAUUCCGCCAAGUACCUC
This 72-nucleotide transfer RNA is filed under the name Bacteroidia bacterium. RNAcentral describes it as "tRNA-Cys". It matches the Rfam family "tRNA". Rfam says of the family: Transfer RNA (tRNA) molecules are approximately 80 nucleotides in length. The record is from RNAcentral. Lineage: Bacteria; Pseudomonadati; Bacteroidota; Bacteroidia.